Molecule: non-coding RNA, 891 nt
Organism: Macaca mulatta (Rhesus monkey)
Lineage: Eukaryota; Metazoa; Chordata; Mammalia; Primates; Cercopithecidae
Source: RefSeq, a predicted model, not a curated record
UUGUUAGUACCCAACUGAUGACAAGGAUUACAAUGUUUUGUGCAAAUGCCACAUUUAGUUUGCAAGGAAAACUUAGCAUAUGAGAGCUGAUUUGGGUGUGCUGUUUUCCCUGCUUCUUACCACUCUUCACAGGUUCUGCUCAAAGCUACUUCCACUAACGGUAAUGCAGUUCCAACCUCUUCAACGACAGCAGAGUGACCCAGACCACCUUCCUUGAGAAUUUCAGAGCUGCAGCCCACAGCCAGGGCCACGGUGGACUCAGCUCUCCACCCUGUGGUGAUAUUACAAUUCUUGUUGUGUUCAUAGCCGUGGGCUUGUUCACCUCGGAGUGUCAAGGGCGUGGCACAGACACCCCCAGAUUUCCAUUCUGUGUUAUGAAGUCCGGAUUGUUUUUGCUACACCUGCAAAAUAUCUCACAGCUGUGAGCUGUGGCAAAAGAUGAGUCCAAAGACAUGCUCAGUGGGCUGGUGAGGACCCAGGAAGGGCUGUCCCACUGGGAGCUCCCAGCAUCUGCAUCCUCUCUUGAUUUUGCCGUGACAUCCAUCGAGGUGUGCAAGGCUUCUAAAGGCGGAGUCUUGCUAAAGUGACUAAGUGGGAGACAGAGGAAGAGGGAAGGAUUCAAUAAACCCAGAAUCUGAGAAGGACCGAGAUGAAUUCUGUGAGAAUUUCUUGUUUGCUAGGCUCCUUUGGAUUACUCUAAUAUGUUAUCUCAAUUAAACCACAUUGCAACACCAUUAAGUAAAUACAAUUGAUAGUUCUUCUGAUGGUGAAAACCAUCAGAUUCAAGAAUGGUUAUAAACCUUACUCAAAUACUAUAUUAGCCUGGAGUCUGAAGCUCAUAGUCUUAACCACUACUUUAUAUUAAAAACCAGGUUUGCCCUAUGAAUUUUA